GGAGGGUGCAAGCGUUGUCCGGAUUUAUUGGGUUUAAAGGGUGCGUAGGCGGUACAAUAAGUCAGUGGUGAAAGUCUGAGGCUCAACCCUAGAAUUGCCAUUGAAACUGUAGUACUUGAGUACAGAUGAGGUAUGCGGAAUUUAUGGUGUAGCGGUGAAAUGCAUAGAUACCAUAAAGAACACCGAUAGCGAAGGCAGCAUACUAGGCUGUAACUGACACUGAUGCACGAAAGCGUGGGGAGCGAACAGGAUUAGAUACCCUGGUAGUCCACGCUGUAAACGAUGAUCACUCGAUGUAUGCGAUACACAGUAUGCGUCUUAGCGAAAGCGUUAAGUGAUCCACCUGGGGAGUACGUCGGCAACGAUG
This 367-nucleotide ribosomal RNA is filed under the name uncultured organism. RNAcentral describes it as "partial 16S ribosomal RNA". It matches the Rfam family "Bacterial small subunit ribosomal RNA", at positions 527 to 896 of the family's 1533-position model. The record is from RNAcentral.